This 24-nucleotide non-coding RNA is filed under the name Arabidopsis thaliana (thale cress). Lineage: Eukaryota; Viridiplantae; Streptophyta; Magnoliopsida; Brassicales; Brassicaceae. The record is from RNAcentral.
CACAAAUUUACGACAUAAUAUUGU